GAAAUGCGAUAAGUAGUGUGAAUUGCAGAAUUCAGUGAAUCAUCGAAUCUUUGAACGCACAUUGCGCCCUUUGGUAUUCCUUAGGGCAUGCCUGUUCGAGCGUCAUUUACAAAUUCAAGCUCAGCUUGGUGAUGGGCGCCUGUCCCGCCUUUGCGUGUGGACUCGUCUCAAAUGCAGUUGGCAGCUUAUCCCUCGGCUCUAAACGCAGCAGAUUUGCGUCGAGCGUCGAGCGGACGGGCUCUCCGGUAAGCAAACCCCCUAAAAUUGACCUCGGAUCAGGUAGGGAUACCCGCUGAACUCAAGC
This 304-nucleotide unclassified non-coding RNA is filed under the name plant metagenome. RNAcentral describes it as "partial contains 5.8S ribosomal RNA, internal transcribed spacer 2, and large subunit ribosomal RNA". The stretch from base 1 to 105 matches the Rfam family "5.8S ribosomal RNA", at positions 50 to 154 of the family's 154-position model. The record is from RNAcentral.